UCUCAGGGACUCUGCCCUUUGGUCCUACCCAGCAGAUCGAGUGCAGAGUUUUCAAGAAAGACUUGCAGAAGCAGAAAUGGCUCACCCUCAGCCUGGAGCUUUUCAUGACUCUCCAGAAGAAAUGUCAACAGCCUUUUGUUUGGGUGAGCACGCCAAGACUAGCCCAGAGGACUCCUUUAGAUGCACUUGUGUGCCUGUCCUUCUGCACCAAGUCACACACAAGCCGGCUCUUCUGAUGCUCAAAGCUGCCAUUGGCUCCUUGUAUAGCCUACAGAGCUGACUGUGCAUCGGCCUCCAUCCUGGGCAAAACUGAGGUCUCUUCAGUCUCCCUCUCCCCACUCAGCAGCCAAUCCAGGGCCAGGGCCUUUACAGUUUUACGUAAAUUUCAUCAGAACCCUUUGAUCCAACUAAAGUUUACUUCUCCCAGAUGUUGCAAAACAGCUAUCUUGGCUGCAUUUUUAAAAAUUGUCUUCCCAAUGUCCAGUGUAAUUCUUGUACUC
RNAcentral lists this long non-coding RNA (500 nucleotides) under Mus spretus (western wild mouse). Its description in RNAcentral is "lncRNA (ENSMSPG00010043445.1)". The record is from RNAcentral. Lineage: Eukaryota; Metazoa; Chordata; Mammalia; Rodentia; Muridae.